This 433-nucleotide long non-coding RNA is filed under the name Pandoravirus salinus. RNAcentral's name for it is "putative ncRNA". The record is from RNAcentral.
GGACCCUCCAAAAUUGCAGCGUGGCAAUACUGAGCCCGCCCCGCCGCUCGUGCGCACACAACAGCACGACCCCCCGCCAAAAAAUCGCAAAGAACCAGGAUAUAUCCAUAAAAAAUCCCGGAUAAACCCCUCUUCCCAAAAGUCUCUACCCAACAAGCCCCCGAGCGACUAUAUCGCGCGCGUAUGCCGCACUGACCGCAAAAAUCGCAAACCCAAAAACCCACAACCGAUCCUGCCUUGGCGCCGACCGGACAGAUGUCCAUGCGCGAGGGCAAGCCGACGACCUCACCGGCUGUCGCGACAAGUACAGAGACAAUGACGACGCUGCCAAAGAAGGGCGGAAAAAGAAGACGACAAUAACCUCGCAAAAGAAGGGCGCCUUUUUAUGCCACCUUUUUGUCCCAGUUUUCAAUCGUAAAUAUUUGGAUUUUUU